This is a non-coding RNA of Podarcis lilfordi (Lilford's wall lizard), 118 nucleotides long. The record is from the annotation of a GenBank genome assembly. Lineage: Eukaryota; Metazoa; Chordata; Lepidosauria; Squamata; Lacertidae.
CUUUCCGCUCAAAAACCCGCUCUUUGCUGCUGAAUUGGAGCUUACGUCAAUCCACAGAAAAUCCAAUUGAUGUUUGCUCCAAUUCAGUGGUAAAGAGCGGGUUUUCCCUGGGGGAAAG